GGGUCACGACGCUCUUCCUAGCUGUUGUUCUCUGGCUCCGGCUGUCCGGUGAUCUCCCACUCGACGGCAAUGUCAGCCGGGUAGAAGCCUUCGAUCAGGCAGGUCACACUGACUUUGUUCUUGCUGAGCUCCUCCUGGGUUGGAG
Leopardus geoffroyi (Geoffroy's cat) is the source of this 145-nucleotide long non-coding RNA. RefSeq lists it as uncharacterized. The transcript has 3 exons. The record is from RefSeq and is a predicted model, not a curated record. Lineage: Eukaryota; Metazoa; Chordata; Mammalia; Carnivora; Felidae.